Molecule: ribosomal RNA, 263 nt
Filed under: uncultured bacterium
Lineage: Bacteria
Description: partial 16S ribosomal RNA
Rfam family: Bacterial small subunit ribosomal RNA
Source: RNAcentral
GUCCACGCUGUAAACGAUGAGAACUAGACGUUGGGGAGUUUAAUCUUCUUAGUGUCGAAGCUAACGCGAUAAGUUCUCCGCCUGGGGAGUACGGCCGCAAGGUUAAAACUCAAAGGAAUUGACGGGGCCCGCACAAGCGGUGGAGCAUGUGGUUUAAUUCGAUGCAACGCGAAGAACCUUACCUGGUCUUGACAUCUAGCGAACUUUUCAGAGAUGGAUUGGUGCCUUCGGGAACGCUAAGACAGGUGCUGCAUGGCUGUCGU